GACGAACGCUGGCGGCGUGCUUAACACAUGCAAGUCGAACGGAAAGGCCCUGCUUUUGUGGGGUGCUCGAGUGGCGAACGGGUGAGUAACACGUGAGUAACCUGCCCUUGACUUUGGGAUAACUUCAGGAAACUGGGGCUAAUACCGGAUAGGAGCUCCUGCUGCAUGGUGGGGGUUGGAAAGUUUCGGCGGUUGGGGAUGGACUCGCGGCUUAUCAGCUUGUUGGUGGGGUAGUGGCUUACCAAGGCUUUGACGGGUAGCCGGCCUGAGAGGGUGACCGGCCAAGAGGGGGCUGGGGUAGGGCCGGGACGCACCAGGGGGGGAGGGGGGGGGAAGGUGUCAAAAGGGGGGGAGCGCGGGUGGGGCAACGCCGGGGGGGGGAGGGCGGCCAUCGGGGUGUAAACCGUUUUCGCCUGGGACGAAGGGGGAGGGAGGGUAAGGGGGAAAGAAGGACCGGCAAAUUAGGU
This 467-nucleotide ribosomal RNA is filed under the name uncultured bacterium. Its description in RNAcentral is "partial 16S ribosomal RNA". It matches the Rfam family "Bacterial small subunit ribosomal RNA", at positions 28 to 506 of the family's 1533-position model. The record is from RNAcentral.